This 465-nucleotide ribosomal RNA is filed under the name uncultured bacterium. RNAcentral describes it as "partial 16S ribosomal RNA". It matches the Rfam family "Bacterial small subunit ribosomal RNA", at positions 338 to 795 of the family's 1533-position model. The record is from RNAcentral.
CCUACGGGUGGCAGCAGUGGGGAAUAUUGCGCAAUGGGCGAAAGCCUGACGCAGCGACGCCGCGUGAGGGAUGAAGGUCUUCGGAUCGUAAACCUCUGUCAGCAGGGAAGAACGGUCACUGUGCUAAUCAGCAGUGAAUUGACGGUACCUGCAAAGGAAGCACCGGCUAACUCCGUGCCAGCAGCAGCGGUAAUACGGAGGGUGCGGGCGUUAAUCGGAAUUACUGGGCGUAAAGCGCUCGUAGGCGGUACGUCAAGUCAAGGGUGAAAUCCCCGCGCUCAACGUGGGAAGUGCCUUUGAAACUGGAGAACUGGAGUGUGUGGGAGGAUAGUGGAAUUCCAGGUGUAGGAGUGAAAUGCGUAGAUAUCUGGAGGAACAUCAGUGGCGAAGGCGACUAUCUGGCACAUAACUGACGCUGAGGAGCGAAAGCGUGGGUAGCAAACAGGAUUAGAUACCCUGGUAGUC